CCAAGAGAUCGGGAUAACACCUGGAAACAGAUGCUAAUACCGGAUAACAACAGAUGAUGCCUAUCAACUGUUUAAAAGAUGGUUCUGCUAUCACUCUUGGAUGGACCUGCGGUGCAUUAGCUAGUUGGUAGGGUAACGGCCUACCAAGGCGAUGAUGCAUAGCCGAGUUGAGAGACUGAUCGGCCACAUUGGGACUGAGACACGGCCCAAACUCCUACGGGAGGCAGCAGCC
Molecule: ribosomal RNA, 232 nt
Filed under: uncultured Lactobacillus sp.
Lineage: Bacteria; Bacillati; Bacillota; Bacilli; Lactobacillales; Lactobacillaceae
Description: partial 16S ribosomal RNA
Rfam family: Bacterial small subunit ribosomal RNA
Source: RNAcentral